GUGGCGCAGUUGGUAGCACUGUUGCCUUGCCUUGCCUAGCAAGAAGGUCCUGGGUUCGAUUCCCGGCCA
Crenichthys baileyi (White River springfish) is the source of this 69-nucleotide non-coding RNA. The record is from the annotation of a GenBank genome assembly. Lineage: Eukaryota; Metazoa; Chordata; Actinopteri; Cyprinodontiformes; Goodeidae.